CCUACGGGAGGCAGCAGUGGGGAAUAUUGGACAAUGGGGGCAACCCUGAUCCAGCCAUGCCGCGUGUGUGAAGAAGGCCCUCGGGUUGUAAAGCACUUUCAGUGAGGAAGAACGCCUGGUGGUUAAUACCCAUCAGGAAAGACAUCACUCACAGAAGAAGCACCGGCUAACUCCGUGCCAGAGCCGCGGUAAUACGGAGGGUGCGAGCGUUAAUCGGAAUUACUGGGCGUAAAGCGCGCGUAGGUGGCUUGAUAAGCCGGUUGUGAAAGCCCCGGGCUCAACCUGGGAACGGCAUCCGGAACUGUCAAGCUAGAGUGCAGGAGAGGAAGGUAGAAUUCCCGGUGUAGCGGUGAAAUGCGUAGAGAUCGGGAGGAAUACCAGUGGCGAAGGCGGCCUUCUGGACUGACACUGACACUGAGGUGCGAAAGCGUGGGUAGCAAACAGGAUUAGAUACCCUUGUAGUC
This 464-nucleotide ribosomal RNA is filed under the name Vreelandella stevensii. RNAcentral's name for it is "partial 16S ribosomal RNA". It matches the Rfam family "Bacterial small subunit ribosomal RNA", at positions 338 to 795 of the family's 1533-position model. The record is from RNAcentral. Lineage: Bacteria; Pseudomonadati; Pseudomonadota; Gammaproteobacteria; Oceanospirillales; Halomonadaceae.